Molecule: transfer RNA, 103 nt
Filed under: Pleuronectes platessa (European plaice)
Lineage: Eukaryota; Metazoa; Chordata; Actinopteri; Pleuronectiformes; Pleuronectidae
Rfam family: tRNA
About the family: Transfer RNA (tRNA) molecules are approximately 80 nucleotides in length. Their secondary structure includes four short double-helical elements and three loops (D, anti-codon, and T loops). Further hydrogen bonds mediate the characteristic L-shaped molecular structure. tRNAs have two regions of fundamental functional importance: the anti-codon, which is responsible for specific mRNA codon recognition, and the 3' end, to which the tRNAs corresponding amino acid is attached (by aminoacyl-tRNA synthetases). tRNAs cope with the degeneracy of the genetic code in two manners: having more than one tRNA (with a specific anti-codon) for a particular amino acid; and 'wobble' base-pairing, i.e. permitting non-standard base-pairing at the 3rd anti-codon position.
Source: Rfam by way of RNAcentral
AUCAGAAUGGCCGACCGGUCUAAGGCGCUGCGUUCAGGUCUAAGGCGCUGCCUUCAGGUCGCAGUCUACAUUGGAGGUGUGGGUUCAAAUCCCACUUCUGACA